CACUAGAAAGACAGCAAGUGGUACUGCACCACUACACAUUUCAUAGGCUAAUUCAUGGUCAGCCUUUAAUAUUUUGAUGAUGGCAGAAGAAGAAAUGGCUCGCGCAUAAAGGAGCUUGAAGAAGUAGUGAUUGACGAGAUGCCUGCAGAAAUUAUUCGAGUGAGGACCGCAGGGGCUGAAAGGGAAACAUCUCUCUCUCUCUCUCUCUCUCUCUCUCUGUGUGCAGUGUUUGUUUGUGCAGUGUGUCGUUACCAUGUGGCCGUGAAUGAAUGUGAAUUGGGAGCAGAUAGGACAAACGGUGGGAGUGUAUAUAAGAGCACGUGUGUGGGGGAUUUGAGAAGCAGUGACCUACUUCCCCCUUAAGGGUUUGGAGGAGGCAUUUAGAUCAAGCGUGGUCAAGGUGACUGUCAUUCAUCUGCAUUUGCACCUGCACCUCAGUCACUCAACUCGGUUGCCCAGCAAACGCUUGAGAAUGCUGAUAGCGAAUUGCUGUGCAAUGCAAUCCGGACUGUAUUGGGAACCCAGGUGCAGGUGCAGGUCCAGAUGAAUGCCACUUUGACCCUCUCUCAUGGAGAUCCUAACAUUCGCUUCCGGCUGAUCUCGUGAAUGCUAGCGAAGCGCCUCGUCCAUGUACAGCGACAUUCGGUAGUGAUCCAAUCCAAUCCAUGUGAGGUAAAAGUCAUCAAAACAGGUAUUCAAGGUGACUUAACAUUCUCUUACUUUAGUCCGUAGAAACUCGCGUAUUAUCAAUCUCUCUCUCCAAAUUCGACUGUCAUAUGUUUAUCAUUAGAUCUCUUCCCUGUAUUGUUUUCCCACAGUUCUUGGACUUAAAUGUCUGUCUAUUGACAGCUCCUUUGUCAGCGGAAGGUUUCUCUGAAGUAGGAAAAAGAAAGUGAAAUGGUUGAAGAAGAGCUCUUCUCCAAGAGGUGAAAUCCAAACGAAGGAAGGAAGAAGCAAGCUAUGGCGAGAUGGAGUUAUUUAGCAUGCUGUUUAAAUGAAAUAACAACUAACCAUGUGAAACACAGAAUUCGAUCAUGGUUUGAUCAUGCUUCACACAAAAUUGUCAUAAAGUGAUGAAGCACUGCAAGAACCAUCAUAAAAUCCAUGUCUGAUUACCUUUCCACUUUUUAGAUACAUUCUGAUGUCACUUAGGACAAGAUCAGAUGAUGUUAGCGAGUUUGACUGAGUCCAUCUUUCGUGUGAUGAGUUGAAGUUUGAAUGACAUUACUGGAAUUGAUUUCUUGGUUCUCCCUUGACCAUUGAUAA
Molecule: long non-coding RNA, 1266 nt
Organism: Eucalyptus grandis
Lineage: Eukaryota; Viridiplantae; Streptophyta; Magnoliopsida; Myrtales; Myrtaceae
Exons: 2
Source: RefSeq, a predicted model, not a curated record